This 415-nucleotide ribosomal RNA is filed under the name uncultured eukaryote. RNAcentral describes it as "bacterial SSU rRNA". It matches the Rfam family "Eukaryotic small subunit ribosomal RNA", at positions 592 to 1013 of the family's 1831-position model. The record is from RNAcentral.
CAAUAGCGUAUAUUAAAGUUGUUGCGGUUAAAAAGCUCGUAGUUGGAUUUCUGCCGAGGACGACCGGUCCGCCCUCUGGGUGAGUAUCUGGUUCGGCCUGGGCAUCUUCUUGGAGAACGUAUCUGCACUUGACUGUGUGGUGCGGUAUCCAGGACUUUUACUUUGAGGAAAUUAGAGUGUUUAAAGCAGGCAUUUGCUAUGAAUACAUUAGCAUGGAAUAAUAAGAUAGGACUUUGGUACUAUUUUGUUGGUUGUAUACCAAGGUAAUGAUUAACAGGGACAGUUGGGGGUAUUCGUAUUUAAUUGUCAGAGGUGAAAUUCUUGGAUUUAUGAAAGACGAACUACUGCGAAAGCAUUUACCAAGGAUGUUUUCAUUAAUCAAGAACGAAAGUGAAGGGAUCGAAGACGAUUAGAU